RNAcentral lists this ribosomal RNA (484 nucleotides) under uncultured bacterium. RNAcentral's name for it is "partial 16S ribosomal RNA". It matches the Rfam family "Bacterial small subunit ribosomal RNA", at positions 30 to 507 of the family's 1533-position model. The record is from RNAcentral.
AUUGAACGCUGGCGGCAGGCCUAACACAUGCAAGUCGAGCGGAUGAAGGGAGCUUGCUCCUGGAUUCAGCGGCGGACGGGUGAGUAAUGCCUAGGAAUCUGCCUGGUAGUGGGGGAUAACGUCCGGAAACGGGCGCUAAUACCGCAUACGUCCUGAGGGAGAAAGUGGGGGGUCUUCGGACCUCACGCUAUCAGAUGAGCCUAGGUCGGAUUAGCUAGUUGGUGGGGUAAAGGCCUACCAAGGCGACGAUCCGUAACUGGUCUGAGAGGAUGAUCAGUCACACUGGAACUGAGACACGGUCCAGACUCCUACGGGAGGCAGCAGUGGGGAAUAUUGGACAGUGGGCGAAAGCCUGAUCCAGCCAUGCCGCGUGUGUGAAGAAGGUCUUCGGAUUGUAAAGCACUUUAAGUUGGGAGGAAGGGCAGUAAGUUAAUACCUUGCUGUUUUGACGUUACCAACAGAAUAAGCACCGGCUAACUUCGUG